Molecule: ribosomal RNA, 861 nt
Filed under: uncultured archaeon
Lineage: Archaea
Description: SSU rRNA
Rfam family: Archaeal small subunit ribosomal RNA
Source: RNAcentral
UACCAGCUCUCCGAGUGGUAGGGAUGAUUAUUGGGCUUAAAGCGUCCGUAGCCGGCUUAGCAAGUCUCCUGUUAAAUUCAGCGACUUAAUCGUUGAGCCGCGGGAGACACUACUAGGCUAGGAGGCGGGAGAGGCCGACGGUAUUCUCGGGGUAGGGGUGAAAUCCUAUAAUCCCGGGAGGACCACCAGUGGCGAAGGCUGUCGGCUAGAACGCGCUCGACGGUGAGGGACGAAAGCUGGGGGAGCGAACCGGAUUAGAUACCCGGGUAGUCCCAGCUGUAAACGAUGCGGGCUAGGUGUUGGGGUGGCUACGAGCCACUUCAGUGCCGCAGGGAAGCCAUUAAGCCCGCCGCCUGGGGAGUACGGCCGCAAGGCUGAAACUUAAAGGAAUUGGCGGGGGAGCACCACAAGGCGUGAAGCUUGCGGUUCAAUUGGAGUCAACGCCGGGAACCUUACCGGGGGCGACAGCAGGAUGAAGGCCAGAUUGAAGGUCUUGCUGGACAAGCUGAGAGGAGGUGCAUGGCCGUCGCCAGUUCGUGCCGUGAGGUGUCCUGUUAAGUCAGGCAACGAUCGAGACCCGCACCCUUAGUUGCUACCGAGGAAGUCUUCCAAGGGGCACUCUAAGGGGACUGCCGCCGACAAGGCGGAGGAAGGAGCGGGCCACGGCAGGUCAGUAUGCCCCGAAUCCCCCGGGCCACACGCGAGCUGCAAUGGCAGGGACAAUGGGUUCCCACCUUGAAAAAGGGAGGCAAUCCCCAAACCCUGCCUCAGUUGGGAUCGAGGGCUACAACCCGCCCUCGUGAACAUGGAAUGCCUAGUAAUCGCGCGUCAUCAUCGCGCGGUGAAUACGUCCCCGCUCCU